UCUCUGUUAGUAUAUCGGUUAGUACACGCGCCUGUCAUGUUUUCACGACGUCCGCGCGAAAGCGGGGUUCGACUCCCCGACAGAGAG
Non-coding RNA from Lenzites betulinus, 87 nucleotides. Lineage: Eukaryota; Fungi; Basidiomycota; Agaricomycetes; Polyporales; Polyporaceae. The record is from the annotation of a GenBank genome assembly.